CCUCAGAGGGUUUGCAUCACCACAUUACCAGACAAGUGAAGAGGUUGGACUUGUUUGCGUCGGCUGUUCCUGACUUGGACACUGUUGCUUUGCAGCCCUCCUGAUUUUGGCCCCUGGACCUGGUGGUUGUAUCAGAAGUCCCUUGCCACCACUGGUAGUUAACCUGCUGUGCGAGAAGGCUGGUUUGAGGGAGGGAGAUGAUUUACAGCUCGUGCACAGAAGUUUAUUUGUGCAGAUCUGAUGCCAAUGGUUCCAUCUGAUGUCUGCAGAAAACAGGAGGUUACUCAGGUCCCUGACCACUGGAACGGGGUGGGACGAUUACGGAAUAAGUCAGCUGCCAAGUGAAAGGGGGAAGAUCUGCCUGAAGUCAGGAGACCCCCUGUCCGACUGCAAUCUUCCCUUGCAAUUG
Malaclemys terrapin pileata is the source of this 409-nucleotide long non-coding RNA. RefSeq lists it as uncharacterized. The record is from RefSeq and is a predicted model, not a curated record. Lineage: Eukaryota; Metazoa; Chordata; Testudines; Emydidae. The transcript has 3 exons.